AGUGAACGCUGGCGGUAGGCCUAACACAUGCAAGCCGAACGGCAGCACAGGAGAGCUUGUUCUCUGGGUGGCGAGCGGCGGACGAGUGAGGAAUACAUCGGAAUCUACUCUGUCGUGGGGGAUAACGUAGGGAAACUUACGCUAAUACCGCAUACGCCCUACGGGUGAAAGCAGGGGACCUUCGGGCCUUGCGCGAUUGAAUGAGCCGAGGUCGGAUUAGCUAGUUGGCGGGGUAAAGGCCCACCAAGGCGACGAUCCGUAGCUGGUCUGAGAGGAUGAUCAGCCACACUGGAACUGAGACACGGUCCAGACUCCUACGGGAGGCAGCAGUGGGGAAUAUUGGACAAUGGGCGCAAGCCUGAUCCAGCCAUACCGCGUGGGUGAAGAAGGCCUUCGGGUUGUAAAGCCCUUUUGUUGGGAAAGAAAUCCAGCUGGCUAAUACCCGGUUGGGAUGACGGUACCCAAAGAAUAAGCACCGGCUAACUUCGUGCCAGCCGCCGCAGUAA
This 506-nucleotide ribosomal RNA is filed under the name uncultured bacterium. Its description in RNAcentral is "partial 16S ribosomal RNA". It matches the Rfam family "Bacterial small subunit ribosomal RNA", at positions 29 to 523 of the family's 1533-position model. The record is from RNAcentral.